ACAAUUCAUAACUGUACUAACACCCACAGACAGUAACUCUAAAAAUGAUUUAAACAAAAUACAUUGCAUUUUGUACCUUUUUCCAUUGUUCUUAGAACUUCAUUUGUUUUCAUUAAGUCUUAAAAAAGAUCAGAUUGAGCUGGAACUUGGGUAAGAGAGGUGAUAAGUUUGUAGAUAAUAAUGCAUCUCAUCAGUCAUGAAUUGCACAAAUUAAUCUUCAGAUAGGGGCAUGUCUUACAAGAAUUUACAUGCUAGCACUUUAAUUGUCAGAAGCUAGUUUCUAUUAGGCAGAUGGACUGUGAAUGAGUAACAGCAUUUCCCAUUAGUGGAAGGAAAAAAGAAAAAUGAAGGAUAAAGCCGUAACACAGACAGGGUAUGAAGGAUGCAAGAGUGAAUGCAUGAAAACAUGGUCAUCUGAGGUGCAAAGUGCAAUAUUCGCAAACCUUGGAGUAGUCUGUCUAGAGAAGACAAACAGCAUCCACAUCACACUGGUUAGAAUCAUAGAAUCAUUUAGGUUGGAAAGGCCACUAGUCCAACCAUCACCACCAUGCCCACUAAACCAUGUCACUCCAUUGCAGCAUCUGUAUGUUUCUUGAAAACCUCCAGGGAUCGUGAUUCUACCACCUCCCUGGCAGCCUGUUCUAAUACUUGAUCACUUUCUGAAUAGAAAUUUUUGCUAACAUCCAACCUGAACCUCCCCUGGAGCAACUUAAAGCCAUUACCUCUAUUUGUAUUCAGUAGCAUGGUGUCAUGCUACUUUUUCUUCAGUAGACACACGAUUCCCAAGGGCUGUCCUGCAGUCAUGGAAUACUGGUGCGUUGUUAUUAUUUCAUGGUUUGUUUUUAAAGUUCAUGAAAUGAUGCAAAGGCUGCGCUGAAGUCCACCAAAGCUAUUUUUAUAGCAUAACUGAAAAGUAUACAUUACUCAGAUAACUAAGAUACUAAAUGAGAUCUGUGAGAGUAUAAGACUUACUGGAAUAGUGUUAGAGAACUGUGUAAUGCAAACUGAUUUGGGGAUCUGUGUAAUAAAAUGGUGGAGCUGUACCCA
This 1047-nucleotide long non-coding RNA is filed under the name Chrysolophus pictus (golden pheasant). RNAcentral's name for it is "lncRNA (ENSCPIG00010008234.1)". Lineage: Eukaryota; Metazoa; Chordata; Aves; Galliformes; Phasianidae. The record is from RNAcentral.